ACCUGGCUGGCUCAGUCAGUGAAGCAUGCGACUCUUGAUCUCAGCAUUGUGAGUUCAAGCCCCACGUUGGGUG
Ailuropoda melanoleuca (giant panda) is the source of this 73-nucleotide non-coding RNA. Lineage: Eukaryota; Metazoa; Chordata; Mammalia; Carnivora; Ursidae. The record is from Rfam.